This 482-nucleotide ribosomal RNA is filed under the name uncultured bacterium. RNAcentral describes it as "partial 16S ribosomal RNA". It matches the Rfam family "Bacterial small subunit ribosomal RNA", at positions 30 to 506 of the family's 1533-position model. The record is from RNAcentral.
UUGAACGCUGGCGGCAGGCCUAACCCCUGCCCGUCGAGCGGAUGAAGGGAGCUUGCUCCUGGAUUCAGCGGCGGACGGGUGAGUAAUGCCUAGGAAUCUGCCUGGUAGUGGGGGAUAACGUCCGGAAACGGGCGCUAAUACCGCAUACGUCCUGAGGGAGAAAGUGGGGGAUCUUCGGACCUCACGCUAUCAGAUGAGCCUAGGUCGGAUUAGCUAGUUGGUGGGGUAAAGGCCUACCAAGGCGACGAUCCGUAACUGGUCUGAGAGGAUGAUCAGUCACACUGGAACUGAGACACGGUCCAGACUCCUACGGGAGGCAGAAGUGGGGAAUAUUGGACAAUGGGCGAAAGCCUGAUCCAGCCAUGCCGCGUGUGUGAAGAAGGUCUUCGGAUUGUAAAGCACUUUAAGUUGGGAGGAAGGGCAGUAAGUUAAUACCUUGCUGUUUGGACGUUACCAACAGAAUAAGCACCGGCUAACUUCGG